This 332-nucleotide ribosomal RNA is filed under the name uncultured bacterium. RNAcentral's name for it is "bacterial SSU rRNA". It matches the Rfam family "Bacterial small subunit ribosomal RNA", at positions 568 to 899 of the family's 1533-position model. The record is from RNAcentral.
UCCGUAGGCGGUGUAGCAAGUCGAUAGUGAAAUCUCUGGGCUUAACUCAGAGGCUGCUAACGAAACUGCUAUGCUAGAGUGUGAGAGAGGCGAGUGGAAUUACGGGUGUAGCGGUGAAAUGCGUAGAUAUCCGUAGGAACAUCCGAGGCGAAGGCGGCUCGCUGGAUCACAACUGACGCUGAGGGACGAAAGCUAGGGGAGCAAACAGGAUUAGAUACCCUGGUAGUCCUAGCCCUAAACCAUCAGGACUUGGGGUUUGCCCCUGUACGGGGCAAGUCCCGUAGCUAACGCGUUAAGUCCUGCGCCUGGGGAGUACGGUCGCAAGGCUAGAA